RNAcentral lists this unclassified non-coding RNA (377 nucleotides) under uncultured Oligoflexales bacterium. Its description in RNAcentral is "contains 16S-23S intergenic spacer region". The record is from RNAcentral. Lineage: Bacteria; Pseudomonadati; Bdellovibrionota; Oligoflexia; Oligoflexales.
UCCGGUUUAACACCGGCAGUCUUUCUAGAGUGCCCAACUGAAUGGUGGCAACUAAAAAUAAGGGUUGCGCUCGUUAAGGGACUUAACCCGACAUCUCACGAUACGAGCUGACGACAGCCAUGCAGCACCUGUCUCCUAGCCCCCGAAGGGGAAGCCCUAUCUCUAGGGAUGUCUAGGGAUGUCAAACCCAGGUAAGGUUCUUCGCGUUGCAUCGAAUUAAACCACAUGCUCCACCGCUUGUGCGGGCCCCCGUCAAUUCCUUUGAGUUUUAAUCUUGCGACCGUACUUCCCAGGCGGGGUACUUAAUGCGUUAGCGUCGACACUGCAGGGGUCAAUUCCCGCAACAUCUAGUACCCAUCGUUUACGGCGUGGACUAC